Molecule: RNase P RNA, 334 nt
Filed under: Elusimicrobia bacterium RIFCSPLOWO2_12_FULL_59_9
Lineage: Bacteria; Pseudomonadati; Elusimicrobiota
Description: RNase P RNA component class A
Rfam family: Bacterial RNase P class A
About the family: Ribonuclease P (RNase P) is a ubiquitous endoribonuclease, found in archaea, bacteria and eukarya as well as chloroplasts and mitochondria. Its best characterised activity is the generation of mature 5'-ends of tRNAs by cleaving the 5'-leader elements of precursor-tRNAs.
Source: RNAcentral
UCAGGAGGACCGGCGCUCGGGUCCGCCUCAGCGGCGGAUCAGGAAAGUCCGGACUGCCCGCCGCGCCUUCGGGCGCGGCAAAGGUUGGAGGUAACGCCUCCCGUCCGCAAGGAUAGAGUUGCGAACAGCAGACGGCGCCCGCAGCGAUGCGGGAGCUCUCCAGCAACGGAGAAUCUCUGCGGCGACGCAGAGGGUGAAACGGCUAAAGACUGACCCGGCAGCAAGUCCAAGAUGGGGGAAACCUCAGGUGGGACGCCAGAGCCCGGCGGCGACGCCGGGCCCAGAGAAAUGAGACGCCGAAAUUACAGAAUCCGGCUUACGGCCUCCUGAAGUU